GUACAACUGAAUCAUUAAUCGCCAUGGAAAUAGGACAUCAAUAUUCUCAUGUUUGACUCUGGUAACCCAUGGUAACUGUGCUCCUUUUAUAAUUUGCAAGUGUCUAUUUUUCAUCUGACGAUGGAUUGUCCUGGGGACAAAAAAACAGAAGAAGAAGAAGGAAUAGCUGCAUUGGCAUCUGAACAUGUAUAGGGGGGUUCAGCAUUCAUUAUUCAAUAUUAGAAUUCUGACUUGAGCUCUUAGGAAAAAAAAAUAGAAAAGAUGACUCCAGGAAAGUAAUGAGGAUGCUGAAUGGUAUAAUGUUAUGGUAUUGAUGUCUGUGUCAGUGAGAGAUUGACAUGGAUUAGCAUCGAGGGAUAGAAAAACAUAAUGGCCGCCUCCGUUAAAGAUUCAGAGAUCAGCCCGACUCGUCACAAAACAAAACAAACCUUCACGUGUGCUCAUCUUGUACGUAAUGUUUUAGAUUUUUCUUUUUUUAUCCGUUUGCCCUUUAAUUAAAAUACUUUGUUUGUUUGUUUUACGUUGUUGAGAAAAAGACGUUGUAUGUGCCUAUACAUUUCACCUUUUGUUCUUAGUAUUUCUCUUUGUUGAUCUCUUUAUUUGUAUGGAGAUCUGUGUGAAAAUGUAAAAUGUGCUCUCUCUCUCUUUUUCCCCUCUCUUUGCCCUAAACGCAGGGUAACACAUGAUCUAUGACAUUCUAUCGACACGGUCUUCUCCUCUGGAAGACCGUCAGGCGAACAGAAACAUGGCUCGAUCUUUUUCUAGUGGAUAUUUUUACCAUGAACAGAAAGGAUGGCUGCAGCAAGACUACAUGGAAAAAAGGCUUGAGUCCCAAAUGGCAUUAUGUUCCCUAUGUAGUACACUACAUUUGGCUGGAGCCCUGGUCAUAAAGUAGUGCUCUAUAUAUAUAUAGAAUAGGAUACCAUUUAAGAUACAACCAAUGCUUUUGAUUUAUUUUAUUGCAUUGUACUGUUCCAUAGAGCAAUUGAAGGACAAAUUGCUAGUAAACUAUUUUUUUUAACCUUUAUUUCACUUGGCAAGUCAGUUAAGAACAAAUUCUUAUUUUCAAUGACGGCCUAGGAACAGUGGGUUAACUGCCUGUUCAGGGGCAGAACGACAGAUUUGUACCUUGUCAGCUCGGGGAUUCGAACUUGCAACCUUUCGGUUACUAGUCCAACGCGGGAACUUUAUAUGAUAACAUUUAAUAUAUUAUUUACAGCAUUACUCUUACUUUUAUUUAAUUUAUGAAAAACAAUUUCAUCAUUCUGGAAAUUUUUGUUUAGCUUAAGACAAAAAACAAAUAGGAAAACGUAUUCAAGUCUUUUUACUCAAUUUCUGUCUGAGAGGUGUCUGUCCCAUUGAAUAGCCUCUUCCUGUUGUCAUUUUCCCAUCAGCCACUUCAGGAUUACGGUAUCCAUAUUAGGAUAGAGUCACAAGGCGUUACUCCUAGUUAGGACACUGUACAGGGUAGCACUUCCUCUCAGAAAAGGAACACAUCCACAGUAACUUUGAGCUGCGAAAUGACAUAGACAAACUGUCUACAUUGUCCAUAUAUUUGAAUAACAAGUCAAAUUUGAAGUUGAAAGUUAGUCGAAAUUUGAAAGACCAAAUAGUUUGCGAUAGCUAGCUGUGCUCUGAGACUUUUCCCAGUCAGGACUGGACAAUAAAGGGCCUCUGUGUACUGGUUGUAAACAUAGAGGGAUUCAAGGCUUGAGUCCCAAAUUACACCCUAUUCCCUAUGUAGUGUACUACUUUUGACCAGGGCCCCAUAGGGAACAGGGUACCCUUUUGGGACUCCUCUCAAGGUGACCUUCAUUUAGCCAAAUGUGCUGACGAGAGAGCCGGUGUGUCUGUGAGAUAAUGGGAUAUUGGGUUUUACUAAUGAGAGAUCACUGUGCCAUUAAAAGGGUUGGAGCACCCAACCACCCAAUGAAUGUGGCCUUCAACACCUGUUAUGGAUUAAAGGCUAUGGUUAUAACCUGUUAUAGAUUAAAGGCUAUGGUUAUAACCUGUUCUACAUGAUAUGCUAUGGUUAUAACCUCUUAUGGAUGAUAUGCUAUGGUUAUAACCUCUUAUGGAUGAUAUGCUAUGGGUAUAACCCAUGGGUAUAACCCUAACUCAGGUGAGUUGGGUGCAGGCUGGGCUGAGGUGAGGUGGAGACAGGUAGAGUUAGAGACAGAUAGCAGGCUGGGCUGAGGUGAGGUGGAGACUGAGGUGAGGUGAGGUAGAGACUGAGGUGACAGUGAGAGCAGGUAUAGUUAGAGACAGAUAGCAGGCUGAGGUGAGGUGGAGACUGAGGUGAGGUGAGGUGGAGACUGAGGUGACAGUGAGAGCAGGUAUAGUUAGAGACAGAUAGCAGGCUGAGGUGAGGUGGAGACUGAAGUGAGGUGGAGGCUGAGGUGACAGUGAGAGCAGGUAUAGUUAGAGACAGAUAGCAGGCUGAGGUGAUAGAUAGAUAGAUAGAUAGAUGGUGGUUCCUAACUGUUACGUGGUCGUGUAUACAACAGUACUAGUUAUAAUACAAGGAUGCGAGUUUUUCCCCACUGAACACUCUGAUGACUGUUGGGAAGGUGAAAUAUCCAGAAAGAAAGUCCCUAAGUACAUGUAUAUUAAAUGAAUCCUUAAAAUAUUUCCAAUUUUAGAAUUGUUAACCAAAUUAGAUUUAGAGAUUGCAAUAUUAAAGUGUACAUUUUUUUUGUUUGUUAAUUUGAAGUGAAGAAUGAGGAAACGAGACAUUUUUACACACCUUAUUAUUAUAUAGAGUAAGAAAACGUCUUCUUCUCCUCCUGGCUGUUUCUACCCACAACGUUGUAUACAAUUGCUGGUUUUGUAAUGCACUGUAGAGCAAAAGCAGUUCCACUGUUCUUUUUUUUAAAUAUAUAUAUAAAGAAAUGUUAUUUCAAUGGUCUAUUCUUUUUUUUUGUUUGUUUGAUAAAUACAGUUUUGAUACAAAA
Long non-coding RNA from Oncorhynchus tshawytscha (Chinook salmon), 2954 nucleotides. NCBI's taxonomy places the organism in Eukaryota, Metazoa, Chordata, Actinopteri, Salmoniformes, Salmonidae. The record is from Ensembl.